UCCCAUGUAGUCUAGGUGGUUAGGAUACCCGGCUUUCACCCGGGCGACCCGGGUUCGAGUCCCGGCGUGGGAA
Molecule: transfer RNA, 73 nt
Organism: Neospora caninum
Lineage: Eukaryota; Apicomplexa; Conoidasida; Eucoccidiorida; Sarcocystidae
Rfam family: tRNA
About the family: Transfer RNA (tRNA) molecules are approximately 80 nucleotides in length.
Source: Rfam